This 75-nucleotide small RNA is filed under the name Methylobacterium nodulans ORS 2060. Its description in RNAcentral is "Makes More Granules Regulator RNA (mmgR)". It matches the Rfam family "Makes More Granules Regulator RNA (mmgR)". Rfam says of the family: SuhB later renamed mmgR (makes more granules regulator) was a putative non-coding RNA found multiple times in the Agrobacterium tumefaciens genome and related alpha-proteobacteria. The record is from Rfam by way of RNAcentral. Lineage: Bacteria; Pseudomonadati; Pseudomonadota; Alphaproteobacteria; Hyphomicrobiales; Methylobacteriaceae.
UCGUGCUGCCCUCUGUGGGCGUUUCCUCCCUAGACUUCGGGCCGCUCGCGAGAGCGGCCUUUUUCUUUGCGUGUA